Molecule: non-coding RNA, 321 nt
Organism: Meleagris gallopavo (turkey)
Lineage: Eukaryota; Metazoa; Chordata; Aves; Galliformes; Phasianidae
Source: RefSeq, a predicted model, not a curated record
UAUAAAUGAUUUAUCGUUAGGGCUGCAUGUCUGAAUUUUCACUGUCUGCAGUGAAGCUUCUCAAGUUACGGAUCCCAUCCCACUGGGAAAGUCUGCCCUUUCUGUUGCAGUGUGGGCAGUGAAAUUGUGGAGAAAAGCAUCGUCUGCCAAGCUGUAGAGACGGCGUUAAUAGCACAUAACGUGUGACAAGGCCAAGGGUUGUAGAGAGCUCUCACAGCACUGGGGUUCUUUUCAGUAAGGCUGCAGGCUGUGGGCCGAAGGAUGAGAGAAAUAAGCACCUGCCUUGGAUUUUCAUACAGGUUAUUUCCCUGGGGGGCUGAU